Bos taurus (domestic cattle) is the source of this 72-nucleotide non-coding RNA. The record is from Rfam. NCBI's taxonomy places the organism in Eukaryota, Metazoa, Chordata, Mammalia, Artiodactyla, Bovidae.
UCCCUGGUAGCUCAGACGGUAAAGCGUCUAUCUACAACGCAGGAGACCCGGGUUCAAUCCCUGGGUUGGGAA